RNAcentral lists this ribosomal RNA (520 nucleotides) under Bacillaceae bacterium M12-C4. RNAcentral's name for it is "bacterial SSU rRNA". It matches the Rfam family "Bacterial small subunit ribosomal RNA", at positions 1 to 495 of the family's 1533-position model. The record is from RNAcentral. Lineage: Bacteria; Bacillati; Bacillota; Bacilli; Caryophanales; Bacillaceae.
UGAGCUUGAUCCUGGCUCAGGACGAACGCUGGCGGCGUGCCUAAUACAUGCAAGUCGAGCGCAGGAAACUAAGCAGAUCCCUUCGGGGUGAAGUUUUGUGGAAUGAGCGGCGGACGGGUGAGUAACACGUGGGCAACCUACCUAUAAGACUGGGAUAACUCAUGGAAACAGGAGCUAAUACCGGAUAACCGGUGCGUUCGCAUGAACGCACUUUAAAAGGCGGCAUUUGCUGUCACUUAUAGAUGGGCCCGCGGCGCAUUAGCUAGUUGGUGAGGUAAUGGCUCACCAAGGCAACGAUGCGUAGCCGACCUGAGAGGGUGAUCGGCCACACUGGGACUGAGACACGGCCCAGACUCCUACGGGAGGCAGCAGUAGGGAAUCUUCCGCAAUGGACGAAAGUCUGACGGAGCAACGCCGCGUGAACGAUGAAGGUUUUCGGAUCGUAAAGUUCUGUUGUUAGGGAAGAACACGUACCGUUCGAAUAGGGCGGUAUCUUGACGGUACCUAACGAGAAGCCCGA